AGUCUUUGUGAAUAAUUUGUGAAAACCAAAUUCCAAUUUGAUUUUUUUCCCUAAUCUCUCGUGGCACUCUCAUACUCCCUCAUCCUCAUCUCACCCAAAAGACAAACUCAAACCCCAAAACCCAAUUACCCGACCGUGAAACUCUCUCAACCCCCCCCCCCCCCUCCCCCCUCCUCGGCCUGUUGUUACCUCGGGUCAGUCCGCCUCCCUUGUCGUCCUAGAGCUUGCUGAAGCUAGACCGGUAGCUCGUGUUUCUCUCUCCUCUGUCGUCCCCGUGUUGUUGCUAUUGGGUCUUGUUCCGUUCGAUGGGGUAGUGCUCUGCUGCUGCUACUGUACUUGCGGUGUUGCGGCUGCAGUUGGUUGUCGUUGUUGCUGCUUGUUGUUUGUUCUCGUGGUUAUUGCUACCGUUUGUGGGCUGUCGUGGCUGAGUCGACGCACCCUCCUCUCUUUGUUGAUGUGUGGUGUUGCUUUGUUAACUGAAAUCCUUUUUUCUCCUAUUGUUGAUUCAAAAACUCUAUUUUCGAAUUGAGGACGUAUAUUAACAUCGAUUAUAUUCUAUCAUUACAUUUUAUUAAAUUGAUGGUCUAAAUAUUAGUUUAUGGGGUUUGAAGAGAAAAUUAUAUUAGGAAUUUGCAAUUUACUUUUGUUGUAUUAGUUUUGUUGAUAGCUAAUUAGCUUUGAGUGUUGGGUUAGUUUGGAGAUAUAUUUGAAAGUAUGGAUGAUAUGUUGUAUACUUAGGGGGUGUUUGGUUGGGCUAUUUUUAAUGGAAUGGAAUGGAUUGACAUCUAUUUCAUUGUUUGGUUGGACAUAUUUAGGGUAGAGUCUCAUAUCCAAGAGUUUCUAUCUCCACCCCAUCCCCUUAGAAUCCCAAUCUCCCCUCUCUCCUAAGUUUCUAACUCCAUUCCCCUCAAGUUUCAAACCCUAAUUUGUGUGGGAGAGAGAGAGGAGUUAAACCCUAGACAAGGGAUAAGCUAGCCGUCGUCGACCACCCAUUUCCGACCAGCACCGUCGCCGACCACCCUUUUCCGACCAGCACCGUCGCCGAACAACCUUAUUUGCAGAAGGUUUGAUAUUCAGAGCUUGAAAUUAGAAGUGGAGCAAGAUAAAGAUGUCUUGUGGAUUAAGGAUUAUGUUUGUAUUUAGAUAGUUGAUUCGGGAAUAGUUGUCAAAGAUAUUUUCAUCGUAUAUAAUUUUGGGAAUUUUAGUGGAGUUAUUGAUGUAAUUAAGGUUGUUUUUCCGCUGCGAAUCAAUUUAGUCAAGAUCAGAGUUAAAUUGUUGUUUAUGGUUGUUGAGUGUGUUUCGCUAGCAGCUUGGAGGACCGAGCUGUUACAGAAACUCAGGAACAAACAACACAUUACGCAAAACAAUACAAGCUGUGAGUAAAACAUCUACAUGUUCCGUAGCAACAACUUGACAAAAAACACACGAAAAACAACACUGCCGAUAACAACAACACUCAACAAGGUGAGAGAGAGAAGCCGGAAGGGAGCAUGGGUCGUGCGAGCUACAGUAGCAAAUAACUAGGUUGGGAGGAUGAUAUAGGCGAAAGAGAAGGACUGAAAAAGAUCAGGGUUAUAAAUCACAAGAGGGGUAAAGAGAGGUCGUACGAUUUCUGGGAACCGUCGGCAAUCGCGGCGAUUAAGAGAUUGUUGUGGGAUUCGGACCAUGCGACGACGUAGACGCCGUCAGCGGUGUCGAAGAAGGCAAGUUUGGAGAUGCUUAUGGGGGUGAAUUUGAGGAUGUGAAGACCACUAGUGUGUGGAUAUCGAAGUUCUACGAAAUAGCUCGGCUAAGCGGUUUUCAUAUAUUAGGUGAUGAUGACACUGUGUUUUACCAACGACAAGCCUGCGUGGUGGUUGAUGAAUUCCGGCGGAGGCAUCUGACAAGGAGGAAAUGGAGGAUGAAAGGAGGGAGCAACGAUAGUUUAGUAGGUUAUUUAGGUGGCAAAUAUGAUUUUGGAGGAGAAAGAUGAGGGAGAAGGUGAGAGGUUAUGAGACAAUCUAACAGUUUGAUUUGUUUUAUGGCUUGUAUCAAACAGUUAAUAUUUAUGGCUCGUGUCCUUUGUGUUA
Beta vulgaris subsp. vulgaris (sugar beet) is the source of this 2069-nucleotide long non-coding RNA. RefSeq lists it as uncharacterized. The transcript has 2 exons. The record is from RefSeq and is a predicted model, not a curated record. Lineage: Eukaryota; Viridiplantae; Streptophyta; Magnoliopsida; Caryophyllales; Amaranthaceae.